GAUGAACGCUAGCGGCAGGCCUAACACAUGCAAGUCGAGGGAGAGCCCUUUCGGGGGCAGAAACCGGCGCACGGGUGCGUAACGCGUAUGCAACCUACCUUUCACAGGGGGAUAGCCCGAAGAAAUUUGGAUUAAUACCCCAUAAUAUUGUUGGAUGGCAUCAUUUGGCAAUUAAAGCUACGACGGUGGAAGAUGGGCAUGCGUCCUAUUAGCUAGUUGGAGUGGUAACGGCACCCCAAGGCUACGAUAGGUAGGGGUCCUGAGAGGGAGAUCCCCCACACUGGUACUGAGACAGGGACCAGACUCCUACGGGAGGCAGCAGUGAGGAAUAUUGGUCAAUGGUCGGAAGACUGAACCAGCCAUGCCGCGUGCAGGAAGAAUGCCUUAUGGGUUGUAAACUGCUUUUAUAUGGGAAGAAUAAGGUGUACGUGUACAUUGAUGACGUACCAUAUGAAUAAGUCGCUAACUCCC
Molecule: ribosomal RNA, 471 nt
Filed under: Capnocytophaga gingivalis
Lineage: Bacteria; Pseudomonadati; Bacteroidota; Flavobacteriia; Flavobacteriales; Flavobacteriaceae
Description: bacterial SSU rRNA
Rfam family: Bacterial small subunit ribosomal RNA
Source: RNAcentral